RNAcentral lists this ribosomal RNA (2056 nucleotides) under Listeria monocytogenes. RNAcentral's name for it is "bacterial LSU rRNA". It matches the Rfam family "Bacterial large subunit ribosomal RNA", at positions 876 to 2925 of the family's 2925-position model. The record is from RNAcentral. Lineage: Bacteria; Bacillati; Bacillota; Bacilli; Caryophanales; Listeriaceae.
CUAGCCUCGAGGUAAAGAGUCAUGGAGGUAGAGCACUGUUUGGACUAGGGGCCCUUCUCGGGUUACCGAAUUCAGAUAAACUCCGAAUGCCAUGUACUUAUACUCGGGAGUCAGACUGCGAGUGAUAAGAUCCGUAGUCGAAAGGGAAACAGCCCAGACCACCAGUUAAGGUCCCCAAAUAUAUGUUAAGUGGAAAAGGAUGUGGGGUUGCUUAGACAACCAGGAUGUUGGCUUAGAAGCAGCCACCAUUGAAAGAGUGCGUAAUAGCUCACUGGUCGAGUGACCCCGCGCCGAAAAUGUACCGGGGCUAAACAUAUUACCGAAACUGUGGAUGAACCUCUUCGGAGGUUCGUGGUAGGAGAGCGUUCUAAGGGCGGUGAAGUCAGACCGGAAGGACUGGUGGAGCGCUUAGAAGUGAGAAUGCCGGUAUGAGUAGCGAAAGAAGGGUGAGAAUCCCUUCCACCGAAUAUCUAAGGUUUCCUGAGGAAGGCUCGUCCGCUCAGGGUUAGUCGGGACCUAAGCCGAGGCCGAUAGGCGUAGGCGAUGGACAACAGGUAGAGAUUCCUGUACCAGUGCUAAUUGUUUAACCGAUGGGGUGACACAGAAGGAUAGGGAAUCGCACGAAUGGAAAUGUGCGUCCAAGCAGUGAGUGUGAGAAGUAGGCAAAUCCGCUUCUCGCGAAGCAUGAGCUGUGAUGGGGAAGGAAAUUAAGUACGGAAGUUCCUGAUUUCACGCUGUCAAGAAAAGCCUCUAGGAAGAGUAGUACUGCCCGUACCGCAAACCGACACAGGUAGAUGAGGAGAGAAUCCUAAGGUGAGCGAGAGAACUCUCGUUAAGGAACUCGGCAAAAUGACCCCGUAACUUCGGGAGAAGGGGUGCUCUAUUAGGGUGCAAGCCCGAGAGAGCCGCAGUGAAUAGGCCCAGGCGACUGUUUAGCAAAAACACAGGUCUCUGCAAAACCGUAAGGUGACGUAUAGGGGCUGACGCCUGCCCGGUGCUGGAAGGUUAAGAGGAGUGCUUAGCUUCGGCGAAGGUACGAAUUGAAGCCCCAGUAAACGGCGGCCGUAACUAUAACGGUCCUAAGGUAGCGAAAUUCCUUGUCGGGUAAGUUCCGACCCGCACGAAAGGCGCAACGAUCUGGGCACUGUCUCAACGAGAGACUCGGUGAAAUUAUAGUACCUGUGAAGAUGCAGGUUACCCGCGACAGGACGGAAAGACCCCGUGGAGCUUUACUGCAACCUGAUAUGGAAUGUUUGUACCGCUUGUACAGGAUAGGUAGGAGCCGAAGAGACGUGUGCGCUAGCAUACGAGGAGGCAAUGGUGGGAUACUACCCUGGCUGUAUGACCAUUCUAACCCGCCACGCUUAGCGCGUGGGGAGACAGUGUCAGGUGGGCAGUUUGACUGGGGCGGUCGCCUCCUAAAGAGUAACGGAGGCGCCCAAAGGUUCCCUCAGAAUGGAUGGAAAUCAUUCGCAGAGUGUAAAGGCACAAGGGAGCUUGACUGCGAGACUGACAAGUCGAGCAGGGACGAAAGUCGGGCUUAGUGAUCCGGUGGUUCCGCAUGGAAGGGCCAUCGCUCAACGGAUAAAAGCUACCCCGGGGAUAACAGGCUUAUCUCCCCCAAGAGUCCACAUCGACGGGGAGGUUUGGCACCUCGAUGUCGGCUCGUCGCAUCCUGGGGCUGUAGUCGGUCCCAAGGGUUGGGCUGUUCGCCCAUUAAAGCGGCACGCGAGCUGGGUUCAGAACGUCGUGAGACAGUUCGGUCCCUAUCCGUCGCGGGCGCAGGAAAUUUGAGAGGAGCUGUCCUUAGUACGAGAGGACCGGGAUGGACACACCGCUGGUGUACCAGUUGUUCCGCCAGGAGCAUCGCUGGGUAGCUAUGUGUGGCAGGGAUAAACGCUGAAAGCAUCUAAGCGUGAAGCCCCCCUCAAGAUGAGAUUUCCCAUUUCUUCGGAAAGUAAGAUCCCUGAAAGAUGAUCAGGUAGAUAGGUUUGGAGUGGAAGUGUAGCGAUACAUGGAGCGGACAAAUACUAAUCGAUCGAGGACUUAACCAAAA